UACAGAGGGUGCGAGCGUUGUCCGGAAUCACUGGGCGUAAAGGGCGCGUAGGCGGCGCGGAAAGUCGUCGGUGAAAGCUCGGGGCUCAACCCUGAGUCUGCCGGUGAUACUCCCGCGCUCGAGCUCACUAGAGGCAGAUGGAAUUCCGGGUGUAGCGGUGGAAUGCGUAGAGAUCCGGAAGAACACCGGUGGCGAAGGCGGUCUGCUGGGGUGGAGGCUGACGC
RNAcentral lists this ribosomal RNA (224 nucleotides) under uncultured bacterium. RNAcentral describes it as "partial 16S ribosomal RNA". It matches the Rfam family "Bacterial small subunit ribosomal RNA", at positions 524 to 746 of the family's 1533-position model. The record is from RNAcentral.